CCUAAGAGUGAUUCUUAGCUUUAAGAAAUUUGACAACUUGCUUUUAUACUUGAGUUUGAAAGUAGGAGUAUAUUUCAUGAAUUCUUAGUACUUAAGACAAAAAUGGCACUUUCAGAAGCUUGAUAAAUAUGGGAACAGUUGUUCAACUUGAAACUAACUUCAGUUUUUUUCCUAUCAGUAUUUCUGCAAAAUUCUGUUCCGUGUAACAUGGCUUAUGCAAGACUGAAUCCAUAAAGGGGAUGUUCUGUGGAGACUGUGGGCGAUUCCUUCUGCUGUCAUUUAAACAUGAGCAGGAGUAAUGACGGGUUUAAAUGGAUGCACCUAAUAUUAUGCCUGAGUCCGCUGCUUAUGCUGUAACCAUAAAGCAACCAGGACAACAUACCUGGAGUGACCGAGAGCAGGAUGAAGAAAGAAUCGGACGAGAAAAUAUGAACUGGUGCCCAUGAGGAGACAUACUGUUCUUGGGCCUGCUUUUUCUGUUUAGUAAUACGUGGUUUUAUGUGGUUAAAUAAAAGUAAUUUAAUAUUCAAUCCACAAGCUAAAUUUCCUACAUUUUCUUAAAGGGGCAGUUUACCCAAAAAGGAAAAUUCUGUCAUUUACACGAAUAGUUUGGCUACAAACAUUUCUCACAAUAUCUUCCUUCAUGUUUAUCAGAACAAAGAUAUUUAUGUGGGUUUGUAACAACAUGCGUGUGUACAUGAUGACAGAAUUUUCAUUUUUGGGUGAACUACACCUUUAACAUUUUUAUACCCAGGGGAAAAAGAAAUGUAUGUUAAACACUUUUAGUUUGUCUUUUUUUGUUACUGCUACUUUCAACAAGACUAAUUAUUCAGCCAAGCUUAUUUUGUACUUAAAGAAAUGAACAGCUUUUAUGGGUUUUAAGACCCAGAUAUGUACUCACAGUUUGCCAAUAGAAUGCCCUGUGGUCCCACAAUUUACCCGCAGUAUGCCCACACUUUGUCCAUUGUGCCCACAUUUUUCCCACGUAUUUGUAUUUGAAUACAUUUUUCCACACUGUAUUUAGUAUUUUUGAUAUCUGUGAAUUUGUGAUAGUAUUUUGAAUUUUAAAACAAUUCCAUGUAUGUA
This is a non-coding RNA of Misgurnus anguillicaudatus (oriental weatherfish), 1086 nucleotides long. Lineage: Eukaryota; Metazoa; Chordata; Actinopteri; Cypriniformes; Cobitidae. The record is from RefSeq and is a predicted model, not a curated record.